This 484-nucleotide ribosomal RNA is filed under the name uncultured bacterium. RNAcentral's name for it is "bacterial SSU rRNA". It matches the Rfam family "Bacterial small subunit ribosomal RNA", at positions 30 to 528 of the family's 1533-position model. The record is from RNAcentral.
AUUGAACGCUGGCGGCAUGCUUUACACAUGCAAGUCGAACGGCAGCAUGGGUGCUUGCACCUGAUGGCGAGUGGCGAACGGGUGAGUAAUGCAUCGGAACGUACCCGGAAGUGGGGAUAACGUAGCGAAAGUUACGCUAAUACCGCAUAUUCUGUGAGCAGGAAAGCGGGGGAGUCGCAAGACCUCGCGCUUCCGGAGCGGCCGAUGUCGGAUUAGCUAGUUGGCGGGGUAAAGGCCCACCAAGGCAACGAUCCGUAGCGGGUCUGAGAGGAUGAUCCGCCACACUGGGACUGAGACACGGCCCAGACUCCUACGGGAGGCAGCAGUGGGGAAUCUUGCGCAAUGGGGGCAACCCUGACGCAGCCAUGCCGCGUGAAUGAUGAAGGCCUUAGGGUUGUAAAGUUCUUUUGCCCGUGACGAUGAUGACGGUAACGGGAGAAUAAGCUCCGGCUAACUUCGUGCCAGCAGCCGCGGUAAUGCACGA